UUUUGUUAUAGUUACUUCUGAUAUCAACUCUUCAAGAUCUACGAAUGUUAUUAAAAAACAAAAACAAUAAAUACAGAUUCUUAACGUAAAUAUGUUUUGUAAACGCAGAAUGCCUAAUAGUAAGGAGAGGCGUAUGCGACUUCUUCAAGAUGAUCAGCAUCUUACUGACUGUGAAUUUCUUGUCGGGGAUUCACCAGAUAAAGAACCACAACGCUUUCGCUGCCAUAAAAUGAUUUUAGCUUCUGCCUCUGAAGUUUUCGAACGAAUGUUUUACAGUGAGUUUAAUGUUGAUGGACCAGUACGUAUAACAGAGGUAGAUGGCAAAAGUUUUGAACGCUUCUUACGCUAUGUUUAUAUAUAUGAAAUAGAAACAGAAGAAUUUCUAUCGCUGAAAGAGUUAGGUGAAUUAUUGUAUUUAGCAGACAAGUACAUGAUGCAAGAUUUAACCGAUGAAUUAGUAAAACAUUUGAAACAUAAACACAAUUGGGCUAUAAGAGAUGUGUGGCCAAUGUUUGAUUUGGCAUGCCUUCAUGAAAACUUACCAUUAUUAUUGUUAUGUUAUGAGGAAAUAACAAAAUACGUCGAGACGCUGUUAUCUGUCGACUCCUUCUAUGAACUGAAUGCCAACCAUCUGAAACGAGUGGUGAUAUUAGUUUCGCAACAGCCACAUAUAUCAACAAAAUUUUUUCUGCAAAAGCUAGAGGAAUAUGGGCGUCGAAAUAAGUUGCAUGAAAAUCGAGAAUCUGAACAGUUUUUUAAAUUGGUGGAAGCCGCAUGCCUGUUGGAUUUCAACAAGCUAUCAAAAGCAGAUUAUGAGUCGGGACCUGCACAAUCAUAUUUGUUUAACAAAAAGUAACCAAAUUAUUAGAUGUUAAUUUAAAAAACCUAUUAGCCGUUAGAUUCGUUUUACAUAAUAUCAUUAUAUGUAUGUACAUAUAAAGUAGAUAAUGCGUAAUAGGUUUAUAAUUGAAAUUUCAAUCCAAAAUGAAAUAUUUAAAUCGGCCAAAUUAAAUUGGACCUUAUGGUCUGCAAAAACA
This 1037-nucleotide unclassified non-coding RNA is filed under the name Bactrocera tryoni. RNAcentral's name for it is "bTB/POZ domain-containing protein 3, transcript variant X5". The record is from RNAcentral. Lineage: Eukaryota; Metazoa; Arthropoda; Insecta; Diptera; Tephritidae.